GAUAAACGCUGGCGGCGCACAUAAGACAUGCAAGUCGAACGGACUUAACUCAUUCUUUUAGAUUGAGAGCGGUUAGUGGCGGACUGGUGAGUAACACGUAGGCAACCUGCCUAUCAGAGGGGAAUAACAGUGAGAAAUCAUUGCUAAUACCGCAUAAGCUAGUAGCAUCGCAUGAUGUAGCUAGAAAAGGAGUAAUCCGCUGAUAGAUGGGCUUGCGUCUGAUUAGCUAGUUGGUGGGGCAACGGCCUACCAAGGCGACGAUCAGUAGCCGGACUGAGAGGUUGAACGGCCACAUUGGGACUGAGAUACGGCCCAGACUCCUACGGGAGGCAGCAGUCGGGAAUAUUGCGCAAUGGAGGAAACUCUGACGCAGUGACGCCGCGUAUAGGAAGAAGGUUUUCGGAUUGUAAACUAUUGUCGUGAGGGAAGAAAUUGACAGUACCUCAGGAGGAAGCUCCGGCUAACUAUGUGCCAGCCGCCGCAGUAA
This 487-nucleotide ribosomal RNA is filed under the name uncultured bacterium. RNAcentral describes it as "partial 16S ribosomal RNA". It matches the Rfam family "Bacterial small subunit ribosomal RNA", at positions 28 to 523 of the family's 1533-position model. The record is from RNAcentral.